GAUGAACGCUGGCGGCGUGCCUAAUACAUGCAAGUCGAGCGAACAGACGAGGAGCUUGCUCCUCUGACGUUAGCGGCGGACGGGUGAGUAACACGUGGAUAACCUACCUAUAAGACUGGGAUAACUUCGGGAAACCGGAGCUAAUACCGGAUAAUAUAUUUAACCGCAUGGUUCAAUAGUGAAAGACGGUUUUGCUGUCACUUAUAGAUGGAUCCGCGCCGCAUUAGCUAGUUGGUAAGGUAACGGCUUACCAAGGCAACGAUGCGUAGCCGACCUGAGAGGGUGAUCGGCCACACAGGAACUGAGACACGGUCCAGACUCAUACGGGAGGCAGGAGUAGGGAAUCUUCCGCAAUGGGCGAAAGCCUGACGGAGCAACGCCGCGUGAGUGAUGAAGGUCGUCGGAUCGUAAAACUCUGUUAUUAGGGAAGAACAAAUGUGUAAGUAACUAUGCACGUCUUGACGGUACCUAAUCAGAAAGCCACGGCUAACUACGG
Molecule: ribosomal RNA, 496 nt
Filed under: uncultured bacterium
Lineage: Bacteria
Description: partial 16S ribosomal RNA
Rfam family: Bacterial small subunit ribosomal RNA
Source: RNAcentral